This 460-nucleotide ribosomal RNA is filed under the name uncultured bacterium. Its description in RNAcentral is "partial 16S ribosomal RNA". It matches the Rfam family "Bacterial small subunit ribosomal RNA", at positions 338 to 795 of the family's 1533-position model. The record is from RNAcentral.
CCUACGGGAGGCAGCAGUGAGGAAUAUUGGUCAAUGGACGAGAGUCUGAACCAGCCAAGUAGCGUGAAGGAUGACUGCCCUAUGGGUUGUAAACUUCUUUUAUAAAGGAAUAAAACGAGGCACGUGUGCCUUUUUGCAUGUACUUUAUGAAUAAGGAUCGGCUAACUCCGUGCCAGCAGCCGCGGUAAUACGGAGGAUCCGAGCGUUAUCCGGAUUUAUUGGGUUUAAAGGGAGCGUAGAUGGGUUGUUAAGUCAGUUGUGAAAGUUUGCGGCUCAACUGUAAAAUUGCAAUUGAUACUGGCAGUCGUGAGUACAGUUGAGGUAGGCGGAAUUCGUGGUGUAGCGGUGAAAUGCUUAGAUAUCACGAAGAACCACGAUUGCGAAGGCAGCUUACUAAACUGUGACUGACAUUGAUGCUCGAAAGUGUGGGUAUCAAACAGGAUUAGAUACCCCUGUAGUC